CGGACGGGUUAGUAACGCGUGGGAACAUACCCUUUUCUACGGAAUAGCCUCGGGAAACUGAGAGUAAUACCGUAUAAGCCCUUCGGGGGAAAGAUUUAUCGGGAAAGGAUUGGCCCGCGUUAGAUUAGAUAGUUGGUGGGGUAAUGGCCUACCAAGUCUACGAUCUAUAGCUGGUUUUAGAGGAUGAUCAGCAACACUGGGACUGAGACACGGCCCAGACUCCUACGGGAGGCAGCAGUGGGGAAUCUUAGACAAUGGGCGCAAGCCUGAUCUAGCCAUGCCGCGUGUGUGAUGAAGGUCUUAGGAUCGUAAAGCACUUUCGCCAGGGAUGAUAAUGACAGUACCUGGUAAAGAAACCCCGGCUAACUCCGUGCCAGCAGCCGCGGUAAUACGGAGGGGGUUAGCGUUGUUCGGAAUUACUGGGCGUAAAGCGUACGUAGGCGGAUUGGAAAGUUGGGGGUGAAAUCCCAGGGCUCAACCCUGGAACUGCCUCCAAAACUAUCAGUCUAGAGUUCGAGAGAGGUGAGUGGAAUUCCAAGUGUAGAGGUGAAAUUCGUAGAUAUUUGGAGGAACACCAGUGGCGAAGGCGGCUCACUGGC
RNAcentral lists this ribosomal RNA (599 nucleotides) under Sulfitobacter pontiacus. RNAcentral describes it as "bacterial SSU rRNA". It matches the Rfam family "Bacterial small subunit ribosomal RNA", at positions 99 to 733 of the family's 1533-position model. The record is from RNAcentral. Lineage: Bacteria; Pseudomonadati; Pseudomonadota; Alphaproteobacteria; Rhodobacterales; Roseobacteraceae.